Long non-coding RNA from Solanum dulcamara, 480 nucleotides. RefSeq lists it as uncharacterized. The transcript is spliced from 2 exons. The record is from RefSeq and is a predicted model, not a curated record. NCBI's taxonomy places the organism in Eukaryota, Viridiplantae, Streptophyta, Magnoliopsida, Solanales, Solanaceae.
UGUCUUGACAAAAGAAACAAAAAACUAAUCUUUGGUUAACAUUUACUAUAUCUGAUGCUUGUUUUUUACCUUGUUUUUGUUUUCCUUGACCUUCGUAAUGCAGAUAUCAAUUCAAGAUUUGUUUCCAAAGGACCAAUACAUAAAUUACUUAAUAACAAAUCUUUGAGUUUUAGAAGUAAUAGAUAUACCUGUGAUUUAUGAGAUCAAGAAAAAGAGGUGCAGAGCCCAGAGUUGCAAAGCUACACUUGAGCUUCCUUCCCGCAGCCAAAGAAAAUCCCAGAAGGAUUAAAAUUGCCUGAAGUAUGUACUAAGUCUCGGGAGAUAUACUCAAUAAAAUUGCAAAGAUCAUUAUAUGGUCUUAAAUAAUCAGGGCGUACGUGGUAUAAUCGUCUUAGUGAGUACUUGAUAAAUGAAGGUUAUAUAAAUGAUGUCAUUUAUCCAUUUGUUUUUAUUAAGAAAACGAAAUCAGAGUUUGUUAUA